RNAcentral lists this ribosomal RNA (373 nucleotides) under uncultured bacterium. Its description in RNAcentral is "bacterial SSU rRNA". It matches the Rfam family "Bacterial small subunit ribosomal RNA", at positions 523 to 898 of the family's 1533-position model. The record is from RNAcentral.
AUACGGAGGGUGCAAGCGUUAUCCGGAAUCACUGGGUUUAAAGGGUGCGUAGGCGGCUUAGUAAGUCAGUGGUGAAAGGCUGUGGCUUAACCAUGGAAUUGCCAUUGAUACUGCAGAGCUUGAAUGAGGUUGAGGUUGGCGGAAUGUGACAUGUAGCGGUGAAAUGCUUAGAUAUGUCAUGGAACACCGAUUGCGAAGGCAGCUGACUGGACCUAUAUUGACGCUGAGGCACGAAAGCGUGGGGAGCGAACAGGAUUAGAUACCCUGGUAGUCCACGCCCUAAACGAUGCUUACUCGUUGUUUGACUGAAAAGUUGAGUGACUAAGAGAAAUCGAUAAGUAAGCCACCUGGGGAGUACGACCGCAAGGUUGAA